GGAUAAAAAAGAUACCAGAGAAUGUGUAGUUUCAAAGUUGAGUUCUACUUGGAAAAUUUAUGCUAUAAAAUACAACAAUUUUUCAGAAAUUUCUACCCACUGUCUCCGAUAAAUGGGCACAAUUACAGAAACUUCGAAGAGGAGACAUGAAACUGCCAAAAUAAUGUUCUAAUUAGAAAGAUAGGUUUCUACUUACAGUUUGAACAUAUGUUGGACCUAGCUCUUGCUCUCACAUCCUCUAACAAGAGACAUGCGCGUAGAUGGAAAAGUCGCAGAAUCAUCUUCAUCAAUCUUAUUGGUCAUACUAGAUACCACAUGCUUUUAUCAAGAAAGUUGGGUUGACAUUAAAGUCUGGAU
Long non-coding RNA from Telopea speciosissima, 357 nucleotides. RefSeq lists it as uncharacterized. The record is from RefSeq and is a predicted model, not a curated record. The transcript is spliced from 2 exons. NCBI's taxonomy places the organism in Eukaryota, Viridiplantae, Streptophyta, Magnoliopsida, Proteales, Proteaceae.